RNAcentral lists this ribosomal RNA (484 nucleotides) under uncultured bacterium. RNAcentral's name for it is "partial 16S ribosomal RNA". It matches the Rfam family "Bacterial small subunit ribosomal RNA", at positions 30 to 507 of the family's 1533-position model. The record is from RNAcentral.
AUUGAACGCUGGCGGCAGGCCUAACACAUGCAAGUCGAGCGGAUGAAGGGAGCUUGCUCCUGGAUUCAGCGGCGGACGGGUGAGUAAUGCCUAGGAAUCUGCCUGGUAGUGGGGGAUAACGUCCGGAAACGGGCGCUAAUACCGCAUACGUCCUGAGGGAGAAAGUGGGGGAUCUUCGGACCUCACGCUAUCAGAUGAGCCUAGGUCGGAUUAGCUAGUUGGUGGGGUAAAGGCCUACCAAGGCGACGAUCCGUAACUGGUCUGAGAGGAUGAUCAGUCACACUGGAACUGAGACACGGUCCAGACUCCUACGGGAGGCAGCAGUGGGGAAUAUUGGACAAAGGGCGAAAGCCUGAUCCAGCCAUGCCGCGUGUGUGAAGAAGGUCUUCGGAUUGUAAAGCACUUUAAGUUGGGAGGAAGGGCAGUAAGCUAAUACCUUGCUGUUUUGACGGUACCAACAGAAUAAGCACCGGCUAACUUCGUG